Zea mays is the source of this 109-nucleotide non-coding RNA. Lineage: Eukaryota; Viridiplantae; Streptophyta; Magnoliopsida; Poales; Poaceae. The record is from RefSeq and is marked provisional.
AUGAAGCUGCCAGCAUGAUCUGAAACCAUACGUGUUCUUUGAUUCCCAUCUGAAGAAAGAGUUGGCUUUCAUGGAGAACCGACGGUCAGAUCAUGUGGCAGUUUCAUUU